Molecule: ribosomal RNA, 524 nt
Filed under: uncultured Pseudomonadota bacterium
Lineage: Bacteria; Pseudomonadati; Pseudomonadota
Description: bacterial SSU rRNA
Rfam family: Bacterial small subunit ribosomal RNA
Source: RNAcentral
CCUGACCCAGCGACGCCGCGUGAGGGAUGAAGGCCUUCGGGUCGUAAACCUCUGUCAGGAGGGAAGAACGGCCGCGAGGUGAACAAUCUCGCAGUCUGACGGUACCUCCGAAGGAAGCGCCGGCUAACUCCGUGCCAGCAGCCGCGGUAAUACGGAGGGCGCAAGCGUUGUUCGGAAUCACUGGGCGUAAAGCGCGUGUAGGCGGCUUGGCAAGUCGGGUGUGAAAUCCCGAGGCUCAACCUCGGAACUGCACUCGAAACUGCCUCGCUCGAGUCCCGGAGAGGGUGGCGGAAUUCCCGGUGUAGGGGUGAAAUCCGUAGAUAUCGGGAGGAACACCAGUGGCGAAGGCGGCCACCUGGACGGUGACUGACGCUGAGACGCGAAAGCGUGGGGAGCAAACAGGAUUAGAUACCCUGGUAGUCCACGCCGUAAACGGUGAGUGCUAGACGUCGCGGGUAUUGACCCCCGCGGUGUCGCAGCUAACGCGUUAAGCACUCCGCCUGGGGAGUACGGCCGCAAGGCUA